UUCACGGUCCUCUGAACAUAAAAUCUAAAACAGACUAUCCUUGAACACUAGAGCCCCUCCCCAACUUUGAACCGAGUUCCGAAAGUGGUCUCAUCUCCAUACUCGGCUUUGAACCCCACAUCCCCAAAAUAAGGAAUGGGGUAGACGUAAAGGAUCUUUUUUUUUUUUUUGCGGGAUGAAAAAAGGUUUAUUUUUUAAAAAAACCUUACCAUUUUUUCCCUCUUUAUUUUAAGAUUCUGGAAAUAGCUUUAAAAUAGCUUUAGAUUUCAAUCUUAACAUGAAUCAAAGCCGAGUCAGAGAAAUUUGGCCCUAUUUUAAUAGGGCUGGGGAAUGAGCUCCAGAGGUCAAUAAAGCCCUCCAAAAAUGAUGAAUGAUUGAGUACCUGUGAUGAUGAUAGUGAUUACUGGAGCAAUUAAACAGUUUGAUUAAAUGAGCCAUCAUAACAAUGAUGUCUGCGGGAAAUCAGCCCUCACAUAUAAAGAAAGAAAGUGUGUAGAAGGGCUGACAUAACGCCAGUGGGCAAUCCGAGGCUUUCCGAUAGCUAGAGUGCUGUGGAAACGGAGGUAUUUUCCAAUGCUCCUGAGGGGAAAGGGGGUGAUUAGAAAGGGAAAAAGUCAUGCAGAUACUUUAUGGCAUUGUUGUACACCCAAUUAAUAAUGAAGAGCAAAAGUGAAGGUUGAGAUUUUCUUCUUCUUCUUCUUCUUCUUCUUCUUCUUUCUUCUUCUUCUUCUUCUUCUCUCCUCCUCCUCCUCCUCCUCCUCCUCCUCCUCCUCCUCUCUUCUCCUUUCUCCUCCUCCUUCUCCUUCUCCUUCUCCUUCUCCUUCUCCUUCUCCUUCUCCUUCUCCUUCUCCUUCUCCUCCUUCUCCUUCUUCUCUUUCUCCUUCUCUUUCUUCUCCUUCUCCCCCUCCUCCUCCUGCUUCUUCUUCUCCUUCUCCUUCUCCUUUCCUUCUCCUUCUCCUUCUCCUUCUCCUUCUCCUUCUCCUUCUCCUUUCCUUCUCCUUCUCCUUCCCCACCCCCCGAAGAUCUCCAAGAUUAAGAGCAGUGACUCUGUGUUGUUGCUGACUUUACCUCGGAUUUAUAAGAAGAGAUGACUAUACUGAAGUGCCAACUGAAGCCCAGGAAACGGAAAUUAAUUGUUCAAGAAAAUACACGAAGGUUGAACUUGACUUGACAUCAAAUGGCAAGAUAAUAUUAUGUCGUUAUCCUAUAGGUAUUUCCCCAUGAGUAUAUAAAGCCUAGCAUUUGACCAGAUCCUAUCUAUAACCAAGAAGAAACACAAGAUCCAGUGCAAAAUGCCAAAUUAGAAAGAAAAGGUAAAGCUGCUGAGCAAGAGUUCGUGAGAAAACAGCUUAGCCCUCAUGGACUUUAUCAUCAAUAGUUGAGACUCAUAUUGUUGUUUCUUGUCAUUAAAGAUAAAAUAUCAUCUUUUGUUCAUUUUACCACUUGAAGAAAUGAAGUAGAAAAUAUUUGCCAGUGUUAUACAGGAAACAUUUAACAAAGUAUUUUUCAAUAUUAAAAAAAAAAAGAUGGAGAGUUGGGUAAUGAUGAACAUAAUAGCAUAAAAAUAAAGCAUGAAGCAUAAAAUAACUUCA
Molecule: long non-coding RNA, 1592 nt
Filed under: Phascolarctos cinereus (koala)
Lineage: Eukaryota; Metazoa; Chordata; Mammalia; Diprotodontia; Phascolarctidae
Description: lncRNA (ENSPCIG00000023014.2)
Source: RNAcentral